RNAcentral lists this long non-coding RNA (298 nucleotides) under Ananas comosus (pineapple). Its description in RNAcentral is "long non-coding RNA (ACOM_LNC007730)". Lineage: Eukaryota; Viridiplantae; Streptophyta; Magnoliopsida; Poales; Bromeliaceae. The record is from RNAcentral.
UACUAAAAAUUUUAAAAAUUUUCUAAACCCCACCAGAAAAGAAUGUAAGAUUUACACUUUUUUUAGAAUGUACAAGUAGUAAUGCUCUUUGCUCUUUUAUCUAGGGGCAAUUUCAAAUAUAAUCUUCUCUAAAACUCAAAAAUAUUAUAGAUGCAUUUUCCAAAUUUAAAAUAUCAUAAAUAUCAACCUAGACGCAUAAAUUUAUCGUAAAUGCUCCUCUAAACAUAUACUAUUACAAGUAUUCCUCUACAAUAUAUCCGAAUCCAAACAUUAACUUAAAUCUUUUUUAUAUACAGAA